RNAcentral lists this unclassified non-coding RNA (694 nucleotides) under Hevea brasiliensis (rubber tree). Lineage: Eukaryota; Viridiplantae; Streptophyta; Magnoliopsida; Malpighiales; Euphorbiaceae. The record is from RNAcentral.
CACAAAACGACAUCGCUCUCUCUUCACCACCACCAGAAAAUAUUCACACCAAAUAACAACAACAACAAGAAUAAUAAUUUUCAUUAAUGUCGGAGCUAAGAUCUUUCAGAUCAUCAUCUUCUUCACUUCAUCUUCUUUCUUCAUCCGCUGAGUUGGUCUCCGAUGGAAUCAAAAUCCCAUUUCCGAUAUUUUCCAGUUUCAAAUCUCCAUUGAUUUUGUUUUUAUCCAAAAAGAGGUCCUCAAAAUCCCCUUCCAUUUCUGGGUCACAUUUUCAAUUCAAUUUCAUUACCAACAUUGAUCGGAUUCCCAAUUCCGCCGUGUACAGUAACCGGAAUAACUCGAAACCCCCGUCCGAGACGACAAACCCGAAACCGAAACCGAAACCAAUUGAGCUUUGUAAAUCUCCCUGUCGUAAUCCGCCCUUUUAUCCGGAUCCGACAAUGUCAAAUACGCCGCCUGAAUCUUAAUAAACUCCUCCGCCGAAUUCUCCGCCACCACGUCUGGAUGACAAGUUCUCGCUAGUUUGCGGUAAGCCGCCUUGAUUUCCCGGCAAGAAGCUGUCAUCGGAAUCCCAAGCACCUCGUAAAACGAGGAACGCCCAACCGAUAACUCGCGCCCGAAUCGCAGCCCGGCCGCUGAGGCUACCACCGCCGGAUUCGGCCUCUGAACGGAGGGGCAGGCGGCGGUUGGCCGG